Ribosomal RNA from Pyrus x bretschneideri (Chinese white pear), 119 nucleotides. The record is from RefSeq and is a predicted model, not a curated record. Lineage: Eukaryota; Viridiplantae; Streptophyta; Magnoliopsida; Rosales; Rosaceae.
GGAUGCGAUCAUACCAAUUCACAUGCACUGGAGCCCAUCAGAAUUCUGAAGUUAAGCAAAUUUGGACGAGAGUAGUACUAGGAUGGGUAACCUCAUGGGAAGUCCUCGUGUUGUAUCCC